Molecule: long non-coding RNA, 3787 nt
Organism: Cyanistes caeruleus (blue tit)
Lineage: Eukaryota; Metazoa; Chordata; Aves; Passeriformes; Paridae
Source: RefSeq, a predicted model, not a curated record
UGUAGGUACAGACCGUCCUCGCCGGAUGCGAUUCGGGGGCACGGCCUCGUUUUUGAGCACAAAUUGUAUUUAAAUAGCAGAAACGAGCACAAAUGCCCUGGCUGUUGGCAUAUUUGGGCACGCUGAUUCCUAGCGCUGUUACGUGGCCCAAGCUGCUACUUCCCAAUCCAAAGGUGUUGGUAAUUUGAAUCCAGGUACUACCCAGGCCGGUGGUUUUACAAAUCCGAGAAAAGGAAGUUUCUGUUUGACGGCUGUUACAUGCAUUGCUGCAUAAAACGGCAGUGGCUCCCUGUUUUGCUUGUUAAUAGGCUGACAGUCAUCCUCCCUUUUACAUUUCAGUAGUGUCUGACCCUAAGUUAAUGUUUUGUCGUGGACACUUCAUGCACAAAACCUUGACAUCAUUCCUGUCUCCUCACAGCUAGGUCACACAGCUUGAAUGCUAAACUCUUCCCACGUUUCACUUGUAACACGGUGAGGGAGUCAGUGGCUUGAUUAACCAUAGGCAAGGUCACUAAGGUCCCAACAUCUCCUGGUUCUUCUGGGUUUCGUGCCCAAGACCAGAAAUGACUCCAAGAGCGAUCUGCCUAUGAAGUCAAUGCAGCUGCAUCUAGAGUGCCCAGUCCAGGGAUGCUGGGGUUUGUAACACGAUUGUGCUCGCUUCCACUCCCACAGAGGCAGGUUCCCACUGCUUGUAUCAGUACUACAGAAGUUUAAGAAAGAAAAUUUAAUUUGAAUAUAUUUUAAAGAACGUUUCAAAGGUGGACAUAGAAGCACAGAGAUGGCAGAGGACUGGACCUGAAUUUAGGUGACCAUUCAGUACUAGGUCAGGCCUCAGAGCCCAGGUCUCUGGUCUCCCAGUCCAGCACUUUCCCCUCACUGCCCAUGACUGUACACAGAUCUGAACACAGGCUUACCCACCUCGUUGUGUGUCGAGGGAAUGUUGGGAUGUGCCUAGUGCUCUACAUCAUUAGCAACAAGUAAAGAACUUUUGUCAUUGCUGCAGGCAGUAUCAUCUGUGCUGCUUUUUUUGGGUCUCCAUUAAAGAUAUUUUCUCAUUAUUAUAAAUGGAGAUUAUUAAUUGUUUCAGUAACCAUCCAGUGGCCAAGUCACAGUUCUCCAGGGUAUCUCAGGAAAACUAGUUUGAGGAUCUGACAUCUAGCCCAGUUCUCGGCACAUUAACUUUGGGUAAGCUGUACACCCCAGGAACACUCAAAGAAUUAUUUGAGAUCAUUGGACCCAACCAUUAACAAUACAUUCACACUUUUGCAGGGGCAUAGAGGAAAAAACUGAUUCAUCAGCAGUUCUGCUGGAUGUUCCUCUGUCUUCCCAGAGAAGUGUCAGUUUUAUUGCCUGUUGUAACCAGUAUCAGGAUGUGCUGUUUGCUGCAGUGGAAAUGAUGUCUUUCCAAAGAGAGUCAUGGGUUUUCACCCCACAAAAUUCUGCCUCCCUUUGGACCAAGGAAAUGCCCUGCCUUUGUCUGUGGGGUUGCCCACAGAGGAGGGACAUAUGGGGGAAUGUGGGGCAGCUUGACAUGUGCUACUGGAGCUCAGGUGUGUGUGCUGGAACUGCGCUGAGUACAUUACAGUGCCCCAAGCACCCUGGGGAUGUUACCAAACCAGGGGGGAAACCUGCAUACUCCUGACCCUGCAGGUUGUGAAAUCACCUUGGUACUGAGCAUCAUUGCUCUGGCACUCCAAAAAUUGCUGUCACAAUGCAUUCUGUGGGAAUGUGGUUGUCAGGAGUGGAACAGCUGGAGGCCUCCCACAGCACUCGGUGAAGACCAAAGCCCAGUGAGCUCUCUGUUGUAGGGGAAGGGGAAAGCUGGCAGCACGUGCUGCACAGCGAGCACUGAGCAUUAACCUGCUCUGCAUUUCUUUUGGAGCAAAAUGGAAGGGUAGGAUUUCUAUCACAUAUGUGUGCCACUCUGCUACAGCUCUGAAUGGCGCUUUACAAAAUAGAUAAUGAUGUCUCAUUGCUCCAGAGAGUUUCCAAACUAAAUUAAGAAAGAAUGAUGGGAAGAGAUGACCGUACAAUGAGGUGCAGAUGCUGGGAAUAGGGAUAAUGAGGGGGGAACAAUAUGAUUAUGUCCUUUCAAAGCAAAUGCCUCAGGGUAGCUACUUUUGGGGACAGAGUAUAAAAGGGGCAUGGGGAAGAUGUGACGCAAAGGCAGCAUCAGCACAGGGUUCAAGUCGGCCCUCAAGAGCAGAUUUGUCUGCUGGGGAGCAUUUGUUGACUCUCAAAUCCCUGCAAAAAGACUGCCUUGACCCACGCUCAGAUGCUGUCAAGGCCAAACAGGUCAUGUGGAUUAGCAUAAGGCCAUGGUGUCAUUCCCAGGGCCUGCAGGGCCUUGGUGGAUUCAAGCAACCCAGAGCCCAGGUUUAGGAUGACAUGAGCAUCCAGAAAUGAGCAUAUCUUUAUGCAUCUGCUCAAAUCUUGUUAUGAGGGGAAGUUUGAAAACUAAUGUGAGAGGAAGAAGUUGACAUGGUUUUAUUUAAAAUAACUUCUUUCUCCUAUCUCUCCAACAGUGGUCCAAUGACAGAAAAAACUGAGAGAAGUGAGAGAGGAGAGGAUUCCUGAUGAGUAACUUCAGAUGAGUGAAGAGGGCCUAGGGGAAAGGAAAGGUGUCAGGAGCAGCUGGGAUGGCUGUGGGAGAAAAAUGAAGCAGAAGGAGGCAUCCUCCUUAUUUCCAGCCUGGGUUCCAUUCCACUCCACAGUAGGAGUAUUAUACACAGGUAUCACUCUUUUCUCUCAUAUGUGCUAUGCUUCUCCCAGAAGGAUGACAAUUUUCUUAUACUAAAAAGGGCUUUCUAGAAGCAAUCUUGGGAAAUUGAAAGCUGGUCUCAGUGCAGAUAGUAGUUUAUAAUUAAUUAGUGAAACUUUACUUGCCUAUUUUCCUCUCCUCAGCCUCACCUUCUUUUGGCUGGCACCAAGGGGUGGGACAUCAUGGGCACAAACAGCAUGAUGAGAGCUUAAGAGCCCCAAAACUAAGGUGACUUUUUAAACUGUGCAACCAGAGAAAGAAGAAAUGAAAUAGAGGAACAAAGCAGCAUCACAGCCUGUGUAUUCCCUCUCUACAGCAGUCCUUUGGGUUGUGAAGGAUGGGGCUGUAUCAAGAACAGCUGCUUUCUUAACCCAGCAUACAAACCAGGAAGCAAUGGCCACACAUUUUGCAAUCUGCAUCCACAGAUUUCAUUGCCAGAAUUCAAGAUGGCAGGUUUCUUACCUCCCUGAAACAGGCUACUGACAAAAUCCAUCAUGUUGGAAUUUUUUCUUCAGUGUGUGCAAGCCCCUAAUGCUCACCAAAUGGAAGGGAAGAGAGGGACAAGGGUGAGGAAGAGGCUGUGCACGCCCUUUGACGUUGCACUCCCCAGUGCCCUGACGUGCUGCCACCCGUGACAGGACACACACACUCCACACACUGGACUUGCUAAUGCAGAUCUUGGGAGAAAUCCCAGGAACUGAAAUACCUGUUUUGCAUCUGCUGAAAAGAAUCUUCCCUCCUGCUCCUGAAUGACAACAUCUCUUUGCAGUCUGUCCUGUAAAAUGCAAAUAUGUAAAAUGCUCCUCUCUGGCCUGUUCCUCCAAGUGGAUAGAGAGAUAUAUGAAAACAAUGUAAUACACCAAGAAAUACUUUGACAGCUGGCACCUGAUUCUUUCCCAAGUGCCCUGGUGGUCACUCUUCGGCAGCUCUUUGCUGAUUCAUGAGGACUGCUAAAAGAAAGCAUGUGUGACAUCUUUUACAGAGUGUAAUAAAAGGAGGAAAGUGCCCUGUGUGGCUGGAACUGCA